ACUGUACUUUGACUGUACAUACACUUGGUCCCUACCUAUUCGGGUCCUUACAGUGCAUGUUGGCUGCAAUAGGUUCAUUGUAGGAAAACGGUGUGCACUUAUAUUGAAUCUAUCUCCCUUAGUAGAUAGGGGCGUUAGUCCUAUGUAAUUUAUGAGACCGAGUUUAGAAGACCUUGGCCAGGGCAGAAUUAAUAUCGGAAAGAGAUUUUCGAUAUUAGAAACUCGAGUCGAAUAAAUUUGACAUAUGACAGAUGAUGGGGUUUGACGAGUUAUUCCAUGACCUCCGUCUAUUAGGACUCAUAAUAGAAGCACUAUAUCACACAGUAACUGCACCAAGAGGUUCAAUG
RNAcentral lists this long non-coding RNA (347 nucleotides) under Ananas comosus (pineapple). RNAcentral describes it as "long non-coding RNA (ACOM_LNC044903)". The record is from RNAcentral. Lineage: Eukaryota; Viridiplantae; Streptophyta; Magnoliopsida; Poales; Bromeliaceae.